Molecule: long non-coding RNA, 342 nt
Filed under: Selaginella moellendorffii
Lineage: Eukaryota; Viridiplantae; Streptophyta; Lycopodiopsida; Selaginellales; Selaginellaceae
Description: long non-coding RNA (SMOE_LNC001442)
Source: RNAcentral
GGGGUGCACUUUUGUUCAUGGGCCCUUUCCCUCUAUAUUUGAACCCCAUGGAUCAUCUCUCAAGUCGUUCCCUUUGGUUGCUUACAAUCCACCACGCUUCCCUGCAAGUUCACGCCCUCGUGAACGGAAGUUGAGAGCCGCAGCUCUCCCAAGAGCCCUGCUCUCUUGACACCCUACCCCUCGGGUCGAGCCCAACGGGAGCAAACUGGACCAGCCAGAUGUCAAUCAACAUGUGGUGUGAUUCCCUUAGCCAACCAACAGAGUCGGACUUGAGACCGCUCCGAUACCAAAUGUAAGCUCCUGAGUUUGGACUUCCCGAGAGGUCACCCAGCCCAGUACUAU